UUUGCAAGUUGUUUAUCAUGGGACUCAUCACGAUCACUUUUGUUGGUUGGAAAUCGCGUUUCGUCCUCUCUCUUCUCUCUAGAGUUUAGUUCUGGACGCUCCAGCAAAGUUCAGAAAAUCAAAGAAUAUCAAGCCUCCUC
Molecule: non-coding RNA, 140 nt
Filed under: Paramoeba aestuarina
Lineage: Eukaryota; Discosea; Flabellinia; Dactylopodida; Paramoebidae
Source: RNAcentral